UUUCCGUAGGUGAACCUGCGGAAGGAUCACUAAAGAGAACUGCCUUCGGGCUAAUCUCCCACCCUUUGUUUACAUUACCUUUGUUGCUUUGGCAGGCCCGUCUUCGGACCGCUGGCCCCGGCUAGUCCGUGCCUGCCAGAGGACCCAAAACUCAUAUUAUUAAUGUCGUCUGAGUACUAUAUAAUAGUUAAAACUUUCAACAACGGAUCUCUUGGUUCUG
This 220-nucleotide unclassified non-coding RNA is filed under the name plant metagenome. RNAcentral's name for it is "partial contains small subunit ribosomal RNA, internal transcribed spacer 1, and 5.8S ribosomal RNA". The record is from RNAcentral.